RNAcentral lists this ribosomal RNA (343 nucleotides) under uncultured bacterium. RNAcentral's name for it is "bacterial SSU rRNA". It matches the Rfam family "Bacterial small subunit ribosomal RNA", at positions 28 to 356 of the family's 1533-position model. The record is from RNAcentral.
GAUGAACGCUAGCUACAGGCUUAACACAUGCAAGUCGAGGGGAAACGAUAUUGGAAGCUUGCUUCUGAUAGGCGUCGACCGGCGCACGGGUGAGUAACGCGUAUCCAACCUGCCCAUCACUUGGGGAUAACCUUGCGAAAGUAAGACUAAUACCCAAUGACGUCUCUAGAAGACAUCUGAAAGAGAUUAAAGAUUUAUCGGUGAUGGAUGGGGAUGCGUCUGAUUAGCUUGUUGGCGGGGUAACGGCCCACCAAGGCGACGAUCAGUAGGGGUUCUGAGAGGAAGGUCCCCCCACAUUUGGGAACCUGAGACACGGUCCAAACUCCUACGGGAGGCAGCAGUG